GGUGGCUCAGUGGUAGAGUGCUUGCCUUGCAUGCACGAGGCCCUGGGUUCAAAUCCUCAGCACCA
RNAcentral lists this transfer RNA (65 nucleotides) under Dipodomys ordii (Ord's kangaroo rat). It matches the Rfam family "tRNA". Rfam says of the family: Transfer RNA (tRNA) molecules are approximately 80 nucleotides in length. Lineage: Eukaryota; Metazoa; Chordata; Mammalia; Rodentia; Heteromyidae. The record is from Rfam by way of RNAcentral.